GUCGUCUCUCCUGCAGCACCUGCUACUCGCUGCUGUUUCAGCUGUCCUCUGAGCCACCCUGGUGCUUAGCAAAUCCCAGCCCUACCGCUUCCUGCCCCAGAUAUUGAUGUCAGAUAUCCAAUAUAUAUUCACUAAAUUAUCUUCAUUCUCUUGGAAGAAAGGACCUUACAUUUUUUAAAGUCCAGUAUAGACAAUUUCUCCCCUCACUAAAACAUAACCUGUAAGUACAAGUUCUCUAAUCUACAAGAAAAGCAAAUGAAUUUCCUAUUUGGAAACAUAACAAACAUAACAAAUUCAAUGAAACAAGAGAAAUAAGGCUUAAUACCUUAGGGCACAAAUUUAAUUUAUUUCAGAUUUACCCCACCAGUGCUGUAAUUCUGUUGAUGCAAAGGUGAAGCUCAACUUUGAAGAUAUAGUUGCAGCAAAUCAAAUUGAGAAAAGAACAAAGAAGCCAAAUGAAAAAGGGAGAGAGUAAAACAUGGUGAGAUACCUUCCUUGCUGGUUCCAGGCUACAUUCAGUUUCUUCCUCCUCCAGGUCAGCCGGUUUGACCAGGACCUUGUACCUUCCCAC
Molecule: long non-coding RNA, 571 nt
Filed under: Felis catus (domestic cat)
Lineage: Eukaryota; Metazoa; Chordata; Mammalia; Carnivora; Felidae
Description: lncRNA (ENSFCAG00000041078.2)
Source: RNAcentral